RNAcentral lists this ribosomal RNA (378 nucleotides) under uncultured eukaryote. RNAcentral describes it as "partial 18S ribosomal RNA". It matches the Rfam family "Eukaryotic small subunit ribosomal RNA", at positions 592 to 976 of the family's 1831-position model. The record is from RNAcentral.
CAAUAGCGUAUAUUUAAGUUGUUGCAGUUAAAAAGCUCGUAGUUGGAUUUCGGGUGGGACGCAGCGGUCUCGCAUUGCGUUUGUACUGCUGCAGCCCUCCUUCUUGCCGGGGGCGGCCUCUCGGACUUCACUGUCUGGGGGUCAGAAUCGGCGAUGUUACUUUGAGUAAAUUAGAGUGUUCAAAGCAAGCUUACGCUCUGAAUAUAAUAGCAUGGGAUAACACGACAGGACUCUGGCCUAUCGUGUUGGUCUAUAGGACCAGAGUAAUGAUUAAGAGGGACAGUCGGGGGCAUUCGUAUUCCGUUGUCAGAGGUGGAAUUCUUGGAUUUACGGAAGACGAACAUCUGCGAAAGCAUUUGCCAAGGAUGUUUUCAUUGA